This 570-nucleotide ribosomal RNA is filed under the name bacterium RBM-A25. RNAcentral describes it as "bacterial SSU rRNA". It matches the Rfam family "Bacterial small subunit ribosomal RNA", at positions 84 to 689 of the family's 1533-position model. The record is from RNAcentral.
CUUCGGGGUUAGUGGCGGACGGGUGAGUAACACGUGGGAACGUGCCUUUAGGUUCGGAAUAGCUCCUGGAAACGGGUGGUAAUGCCGAAUGUGCCCUUCGGGGGAAAGAUUUAUCGCCUUUAGAGCGGCCCGCGUCUGAUUAGCUAGUUGGUGAGGUAAUGGCUCACCAAGGCGACGAUCAGUAGCUGGUCUGAGAGGAUGACCAGCCACAUUGGGACUGAGACACGGCCCAAACUCCUACGGGAGGCAGCAGUGGGGAAUCUUGCGCAAUGGGCGAAAGCCUGACGCAGCCAUGCCGCGUGAAUGAUGAAGGUCUUAGGAUUGUAAAAUUCUUUCACCGGGGACGAUAAUGACGGUACCCGGAGAAGAAGCCCCGGCUAACUUCGUGCCAGCAGCCGCGGUAAUACGAAGGGGGCUAGCGUUGCUCGGAAUUACUGGGCGUAAAGGGCGCGUAGGCGGACAUUUAAGUCAGGGGUGAAAUCCCAGAGCUCAACUCUGGAACUGCCUUUGAUACUGGGUGUCUUGAGUGUGAGAGAGGUAUGUGGAACUCCGAGUGUAGAGGUGAAAUUC